AGAGUUUGAUCAUGGCUCAGGACGUAUCGCUGGCGGCGUGCCUAACACAUGCAAGUCGAACGGACCCAUCCCGUCGAUGCGAUUUCGGUCAAGUCAAGGGAUGUUUUAGUGGCGGACGGGUGAGUAACGCGUGGGCAACCUGCCUUACACCGGGGGAUAACACUUAGAAAUAGGUGCUAAUACCGCAUAACAGGAGAACAUGCAUGUGUUUUCCUUGAAAACCACGGUGGUGUAAGAUGGACCCGCGUCUGAUUAGCUUGUUGGCAGGGUAACGGCCUACCAAGGCGACGAUCAGUAGCCGGCCUGAGAGGGUGGACGGCCACAUUGGGACUGAGACACGGCCCAGACUCCUACGGGAGGCAGCAGUGGGGAAUAUUGCACAAUGGGGGAAACCCUGGUGCAGCGACGCCGCGUGAGUGAAGAAGUAUUUCGGUAUGUAAAGCUCUGUCAGCAGGGAAGAAAAUGACGGUACCUGACCAAGAAGCCCCGGCUAACUACGUGCCAGCAGCCGCGGUAAUACGUAGGGGGCAAGCGUUAUCCGGAUUUACUGGGUGUAAAGGGAGCGCAGACGGCAGUGCAAGUCCGGAGUGAAAGCCCGGGGCCCAACCCCGGGACUGCUCUGGAAACUGUACGGCUGGAGUGCC
RNAcentral lists this ribosomal RNA (644 nucleotides) under uncultured bacterium. RNAcentral describes it as "bacterial SSU rRNA". It matches the Rfam family "Bacterial small subunit ribosomal RNA", at positions 8 to 650 of the family's 1533-position model. The record is from RNAcentral.